AGGGAAUCUUCCGCAAUGGGCGAAAGCCUGAUGCAGCAACGCCGCGUGAGUGAUGAAUGCCUUCGGAUUGUAAAGCUCUGUCUUUGGGGACGAUAAUGACGGUACCCAAGGAGGAAGCCACGGCUAACUACGUGCCAGCAGCCGCGGUAAUACGUAGGUGGCGAGCGUUGUCCGGAUUUACUGGGCGUAAAGGAUGCGUAGGCGGAUGUUUAAGUGAGAUGUGAAAUUCCCGAGCUUAACUUGGGAGCUGCAUUUCAAACUGGAUAUCUAGAGUGCAGGAGAGGAGAAUGGAAUUCCUAGUGUAGCGGUGAAAUGCGUAGAGAUUAGGAAGAACACCAGUGGCGAAGGCGAUUCUCUGGACUGUAACUGACGCUGAGGCAUGAAAGCGUGGGUAGCAAAC
Molecule: ribosomal RNA, 400 nt
Filed under: uncultured bacterium
Lineage: Bacteria
Description: bacterial SSU rRNA
Rfam family: Bacterial small subunit ribosomal RNA
Source: RNAcentral